GUAACUUUAACUCAGUUGGUAGAGUAUCACACUUUUAAUGUGAGAGUCAUGGGUUCAAAUCCCAUAAGUUACA
This 73-nucleotide transfer RNA is filed under the name Caudoviricetes sp. RNAcentral's name for it is "tRNA-Lys". It matches the Rfam family "tRNA". Rfam says of the family: Transfer RNA (tRNA) molecules are approximately 80 nucleotides in length. Their secondary structure includes four short double-helical elements and three loops (D, anti-codon, and T loops). Lineage: Duplodnaviria; Heunggongvirae; Uroviricota; Caudoviricetes. The record is from RNAcentral.